This 429-nucleotide ribosomal RNA is filed under the name Acidobacteriota bacterium. Its description in RNAcentral is "Acidobacteria bacterium partial 16S ribosomal RNA". It matches the Rfam family "Bacterial small subunit ribosomal RNA", at positions 355 to 776 of the family's 1533-position model. The record is from RNAcentral. Lineage: Bacteria; Pseudomonadati; Acidobacteriota.
UGGGGAAUUUUGGACAAUGGGGGAAACCCUGAUCCAGCCAUCCCGCGUGUGCGAUGAAGGCCUUCGGGUUGUAAAGCACUUUUGGCAGGAAAGAAACGUCAUGGGUUAAUACCCCGUGAAACUGACGGUACCUGCAGAAUAAGCACCGGCUAACUACGUGCCAGCAGCCGCGGUAAUACGUAGGGUGCAAGCGUUAAUCGGAAUUACUGGGCGUAAAGCGUGCGCAGGCGGUUCGGAAAGAAGGAUGUGAAAUCCCAGAGCUCAACUUUGGAACUGCAUUUUAAACUACCGGGCUAGAGUGUGUCAGAGGGAGGUGGAAUUCCGCGUGUAGCAGUGAAAUGCGUAGAUAUGCGGAGGAACACCGAUGGCGAAGGCAGCCUCCUGGGAUAACACUGACGCUCAUGCACGAAAGCGUGGGGAGCAAACAGG